Molecule: ribosomal RNA, 500 nt
Filed under: uncultured bacterium
Lineage: Bacteria
Description: bacterial SSU rRNA
Rfam family: Bacterial small subunit ribosomal RNA
Source: RNAcentral
UGUAAAGCUCUUUUAGUCGGAAAGAAAGAGUUGCAAUGAAUAAUUGUGAUUUAUGACGGUACCGACAGAAAAAGCACCGGCUAACUACGUGCCAGCAGCCGCGGUAAUACGUAGGGUGCGAGCGUUAAUCGGAAUUACUGGGCGUAAAGGGUGCGCAGGCGGUCUUGCAAGUCAGAUGUGAAAGCCCCGGGCUUAACCUGGGAAUUGCGUUUGAAACUACAAGGCUAGAGUGCAGCAGAGGGGAGUGGAAUUCCAUGUGUAGCAGUGAAAUGCGUAGAGAUGUGGAAGAGCAUCGAUGGCGAAGGCAGCCUCCUGGGUUAACACUGACGCUCAUGCACGAAAGCGUGGGGAGCAAACAGGAUUAGAUACCCUGGUAGUCCACGCCCUAAACGAUGUCAACUAGUUGUCGGGCCUUACUAGGCUUGGUAACGAAGCUAACGCGUGAAGUUGACCGCCUGGGGAGUACGGUCGCAAGAUUAAAACUCAAAGGAAUUGACGGG